RNAcentral lists this transfer RNA (72 nucleotides) under Nanobdellota archaeon. Its description in RNAcentral is "tRNA-Tyr". It matches the Rfam family "tRNA". Rfam says of the family: Transfer RNA (tRNA) molecules are approximately 80 nucleotides in length. The record is from RNAcentral. RNAcentral also lists the same sequence under 1 other name. Lineage: Archaea; Nanobdellati; Nanobdellota.
CCCACCUUAGCUCAAUGGUAGAGCACUCGGCUGUAGCCCGAGUGGUUCCCGGUUCAAAUCCGGGAGGUGGGA